RNAcentral lists this ribosomal RNA (492 nucleotides) under uncultured bacterium. Its description in RNAcentral is "partial 16S ribosomal RNA". It matches the Rfam family "Bacterial small subunit ribosomal RNA", at positions 29 to 507 of the family's 1533-position model. The record is from RNAcentral.
AGUGAACGCUGGCGGUAGGCCUAGCACAUGCAAGUCGAACGGCAGCACAGUAAGAACUUGCUCUUACGGGUGGCGAGUGGCGGACGGGUGAGGAAUACAUCGGAAUCUACUUUUUCGUGGGGGAUAACGUAGGGAAACUUACGCUAAUACCGCAUACGACCUACGGGUGAAAGCAGGGGAUCUUCGGACCUUGCGCGAUUGAAUGAGCCGAUGUCGGAUUAGCUAGUUGGCGGGGUAAAGGCCCACCAAGGCGACGAUCCGUAGCUGGUCUGAGAGGAUGAUCAGCCACACUGGAACUGGGACACGGUCCAGACUCCUACGGGAGGCAGCAGUGGGGAAUAUUGGACAAUGGGCGCAAGCCUGAUCCAGCCAUACCGCGUGGAUGAAGAAGGCCUUCGGGUUGUAAAGCCCUUUUGUUGGGAAAGAAAAGCAGCAGGUUAAUACCCCGCUGUUCUGACGGUACCCAAAGAAUAAGCACCGGCUAACUUCGUG